Molecule: ribosomal RNA, 297 nt
Filed under: uncultured bacterium
Lineage: Bacteria
Description: partial 16S ribosomal RNA
Rfam family: Bacterial small subunit ribosomal RNA
Source: RNAcentral
AUUCGCCCUUUGCCACMCCGCGGUAAUACGAAGGGUGCAAGCGUUAAUCGGAAUUACUGGGCGUAAAGGGUGCGUARMCGGUUUGUUAAGYCGGAUGUGAAAGCCCCGGGCUCAAYCUGGGAACUGCAUYCGAAACUGGCAGGCUAGAGUGCGAUAGAGGAUGGUGGAAUUCCCGGUGUAGCGGUGAAAUGCGUAGAGAUCGGGAGGAACAUCUGUGGCGAAGGCGGCCAUCUGGAUCAGCACUGACGUUGAGGCACGAAAGCGUGGGGAGCAAACAGGAUUAGAUACCCUGGUAGU